RNAcentral lists this ribosomal RNA (450 nucleotides) under uncultured bacterium. Its description in RNAcentral is "partial 16S ribosomal RNA". It matches the Rfam family "Bacterial small subunit ribosomal RNA", at positions 338 to 795 of the family's 1533-position model. The record is from RNAcentral.
CCUACGGGUGGCUGCAGUAAGGAAUAUUGGACAAUGGCGGAGACGCUGAUCCAGCUAUCCCGCGUGCAGGAUGACGGCCCUACGGGUUGUAAACUGCUUUAGACUGGGGCGAAAAAGUGGGAUUCAUCCUACAUUGACGGUACCAGUAAAAUAAGCACCGGCUAACUCCGUGCCAGCAGCCGCGGUAAUACGGAGGGUGCCAGAGUUAUUGGGAAUCACUGGGUAUAAGGGGGCCGUUUACGGCUGGAGAGAAAGGCCAUGGCUCAACUAUGGGAUUGCUUUUGAUACUGACGAGCUUGGAUUAGGACGAGGUUGGCGGAAUGUGGCAAGUAGCGGUGAAAUGCAUAGAUAUGCCAUAGAAUACCGAUUGCGAAGGCAGCUGACUAGACCUAUAUUGACGCUGAGGCACGAAAGCGUGGGGAGCGAACAGGAUUAGAUACCCCAGUAGUC